GAUGAAGAACGCAGCGAAAUGCGAUAAGUAAUGCGAAUUGCAGAAUUUCCGUGAAUCAUCGAAUCUUUGAACGCACAUUGCGCCCGCCAGUAUUCUGGCGAGCAUGCCUGUUCGAGCGUCAUUUCAACCAUCAAGCCCCAGGCUUGUGUUGGAGCCCUGCGGCUGCCGCAGCCUCCCAAAACCAGUGGCGGGCUCGCUAUCACACCGAGUGCAGUAGUUUACUCUUCGCUCAGGGCGUGUGGCGGGUGCUAGCCGUGAAACCCCCAACUUCUCAAGGUUGACCUCGGAUCAGGUAGGAAUACCCGCUGAACUUAAGCAUAUCAAUAAGCGGAGGA
RNAcentral lists this unclassified non-coding RNA (335 nucleotides) under soil metagenome. Its description in RNAcentral is "partial contains 5.8S ribosomal RNA, internal transcribed spacer 2, and large subunit ribosomal RNA". The stretch from base 1 to 121 matches the Rfam family "5.8S ribosomal RNA", at positions 35 to 154 of the family's 154-position model. The record is from RNAcentral.